CCCGCUGAUACUUUGAAUGCUUGUCCUCUCCAAAAAAAUAAAAUAAAAAAUAUAUAUAUUCAGUAGAGCGAGGGCUAGCAACUAGAUUAGGAAUGGCUAUGCCACGAUUCCCUUAACCUGUAUCGAACGAAAACUCAGAGACAAAUCCACACACCCACACAAAAAAAACCACAUACAGUGCUGGUGGAUUAAAGCCCUAACUGGUGAAAAUGUUUUUCCCUCUUUCCAUCAAGCCUCUUUUAGUUAACCAUCAGAGCAAACCCUAACCCCUAAAGAAGAAAUCCUAAAUCUGGAAUCCUCCAUUAGAGACGCGAAGGUGUGUUCGGCGAUUUGCAGACGACCACCGCUGGUAGAGUUGGGCUAUAGGAGUUCAAUUUUUGAAGAGGAUGCAUACGAACAGGAUGCUGAACCAAAAGACCGAAAAAUUGGGAAGCUUUGUGAUUAUGCUUUGAAAAAUCCAUUGCGAAUACCAAAGAUUACUGAUUACCUAGAGCACAGAUUUUAUAAGGAUUUGAGGAAUGAGCAUUUUGGCUCCGUAAAAGUUGUGCUUUGCAUUUAUAGGAAAUUGCUAUCAUCAUGUAACGAGCAGAUAAUGUGCUUCAUCUUCAUUUUGGUGAGCUUUAAAUCUUGUUUGCAAAGUUUGUUUCCGAGGGUUAGUAGUGAUGCUGGUAAUGCUACUGACCACAUGCCUAACUUCCUUAGUGAUCAUCCUUUGUUGGCACAGUGAAUGAAGAUGGUUGGGCAAGCUUGGCGGUGCUACUUCUUUUUGCAAUCUUUUGUUAGCACUUGGUUUUCUUUUUUUUAACAAUGAUGGAGACUUUGUACUCUAAAUUAUUCAAUGAAUGUUUUGGAUUAAUUUUUGGUGAUUGUUCUUUUUUUAACAAUGAUGGAAACUUUGUACUUCAAAUUAUUUAAUGAAUGUUUGGGAUUAAUUUUA
Molecule: long non-coding RNA, 937 nt
Organism: Cornus florida
Lineage: Eukaryota; Viridiplantae; Streptophyta; Magnoliopsida; Cornales; Cornaceae
Exons: 6
Source: RefSeq, a predicted model, not a curated record